Molecule: long non-coding RNA, 457 nt
Filed under: Homo sapiens (human)
Lineage: Eukaryota; Metazoa; Chordata; Mammalia; Primates; Hominidae
Description: long intergenic non-protein coding RNA 1672
Source: RNAcentral
AUUCUGAACAUGUCACCGGGGACUUUGGAAUGUGUAUCCAUAACUCCCUGAUUUUCAACCACAUUCCAGCCUGCCUGACUCAUGAAGCGUGGAGCGACCCAGGAACAUCCCAGCUCCUCAUGUCCCACAUUCUUCAGGCUUUCUCUUAGUUUUGGCAUGUGCAUGUAAAUGUCAACAGGUGAGAUCAAUAAAGGCAAAAACCAGGAGAUCCCAUAAAUCCCGCUGAGCCUGUCAUAGCUAUCAAAUUAUACCCAGAUAAAGCUUCUGGUGGCUAAUGACAUGGCCAUCACCCAGCGUGGACGUGGGCAGGAGGGGCUCUCCGGGAGCAUCUGGUCUGCUGUGGAGACACUUGUCAUCUGGAGGCUCUGUGGCUCUAAUGGAGGGUGAUGCUUUGAACGCGACUAUCUCCCCCAUAAAAAAAUAAAUAAAUAAUAAGUAUAAUUUAAAAAUAAACAAA